GCAAGUAUUUGUCCGCGUUUUUACAAGCGAUUCGUCAUCAAUCACGCCAUCCUGGCUAGUACAACCGGCACUUUGUACCUACCAAAACCUGAUAAAAACUUCCGGUUGUACUAGCCAGGAUGGCGUGAGCGAGUUAAAAUUUUCGUGGACGUAAAACAAUAAGGGAACCGACUCGAGUUACACUUCUGCUGUACCUUCUUAUUCUUGUGAU
Paramuricea clavata is the source of this 211-nucleotide non-coding RNA. NCBI's taxonomy places the organism in Eukaryota, Metazoa, Cnidaria, Anthozoa, Malacalcyonacea, Plexauridae. The record is from the annotation of a GenBank genome assembly.